AGUGAACGCUGGCGGUAGGCCUAACACAUGCAAGUCGAACGGCAGCACAGUAAGAGCUUGCUCUUACGGGUGGCGAGUGGCGGACGGGUGAGGAAUACAUCGGAAUCUACUUUUUCGUGGGGGAUAACGUAGGGAAACUUACGCUAAUACCGCAUACGACCUACGGGUGAAAGCAGGGGAUCUUCGGACCUUGCGCGAUUGAAUGAGUCGAUGUCGGCUUAGCUAGUUGGCGGGGUAAAGGCCCACCAAGGCGACGAUCCGUAGCUGGUCUGAGAGGAUGAUCAGCCACACUGGAACUGAGACACGGUCCAGACUCCUACGGGAGGCAGCAGUGGGGAAUAUUGGGCAAUGGGGGCAAGCCUGAUCCAGCAAUACCGCGUGGGUGAAGAAGGCGUUCGGGUUGUAAAGCCCUUUUGUUGGGAAAGAAAAGCAGCAGGUUAAUACCCCGCCGUUCUGACGGUACCCAAAGAAUAAGCACCGGCUAACUUCGUG
This 492-nucleotide ribosomal RNA is filed under the name uncultured bacterium. Its description in RNAcentral is "partial 16S ribosomal RNA". It matches the Rfam family "Bacterial small subunit ribosomal RNA", at positions 29 to 507 of the family's 1533-position model. The record is from RNAcentral.